ACGCUCGACACCUACGAGAGGCAGCAGUGAGGGAUAUUGGUCAAUGGGGGAAACCCUGAACCAGCAACGCCGCGUGAGGGAUGACGGUCUUCGGAUUGUAAACCUCUGUCCUCUGUGAAGAUAAUGACGGUAGCAGAGGAGGAAGCUCCGGCUAACUACGUGCCAACAGCCGCGGUAAUCUGAGCGGGCUGGCAAGGC
This 198-nucleotide ribosomal RNA is filed under the name uncultured bacterium. Its description in RNAcentral is "partial 16S ribosomal RNA". It matches the Rfam family "Bacterial small subunit ribosomal RNA", at positions 328 to 539 of the family's 1533-position model. The record is from RNAcentral.